Grus americana (Whooping crane) is the source of this 895-nucleotide long non-coding RNA. RefSeq lists it as uncharacterized. NCBI's taxonomy places the organism in Eukaryota, Metazoa, Chordata, Aves, Gruiformes, Gruidae. The record is from RefSeq and is a predicted model, not a curated record. The transcript is spliced from 5 exons.
ACUUUCUAAUCUUAUGUCAAGAUAAUUAACCUUACUGUAAUACAGAACUGUCUCAAUGAAUGAAUAUACUGAUGGAGUGAUUAAGUAUGUUUUGUUAUAAUGAAUUUGAUAGAAUGGUUCCUAGAAGCCGUAUUAUAUUACACCACAGUUCAAUGUAACAGUAGUUGCUCAAUAUGCAGAAAAUACUGACGUUUGUGUAAUCAUUGUAUGAUUCUUUUAUCUAUAAUCUCUUUUUUACCUCAGUUAUGUGCUUAUAAAUUUCCAGAAGUCUCCAGGAGUAAUAAGAAUAAUACUCUCUAACUGCCUCACAAUGCAACAGAAACACUUCAGUUCUUAAACAGAAGAAAUUGAAGGAUUUCUUGGAAUGCCCCGUGAAAUCCAGAGUGUGAAGAAAAUGGUGCUGUCAAACUGUUAAAAAUGGUUAUUUAUCCUCUUCCACAGCUGUCUCCUCAGUACAGAAAAGAUUUUACUGUGUUUGAUGUCAAAAUUCAGUGCUUGUCGUGGCCACAGUGUCUGCCAAAGCUACAAGAAACAUCUGCUCCAGUCGAGUGAGGCCUGGCAGACUUGAGUGCAUCAGGUGGCUUGAAAGAACACUAGCAUGUUCUCGGCCAAACAUGAUCUUCAGAGCCCUGAGGUAUUUUAGAAGUUUCUUCAGAAACAUAUGUGGCAUCUUGAUCUGCAGCAAGCAGCGCAUACAGUGGCAGUGGGGGAAUUGAGUCUAUCUCUGUGUAGUCUCGAGUACCGUCUUUUCCAGCUGUGAUGAUGAAUUGUCUGUUCCAAAACCCAUUCUGAUCCUCCUGUAGACUCACAUUCAAGUAUACAAACAUGCAUGGAAAAUUCUUUGGAAACAAACCCAUUAUGCUGUACGGGUUGUUUGUAUGCUACUGCAAGACGC